AGAACCUUACCUGGUCUUGACAUCCACGGAAGUUUUCAGAGAUGAGAAUGUGCCUUCGGGAACCGUGAGACAGGUGCUGCAUGGCUGUCGUCAGCUCGUGUUGUGAAAUGUUGGGUUAAGUCCCGCAACGAGCGCAACCCUUAUCCUUUGUUGCCAGCGGUCCGGCCGGGAACUCAAAGGAGACUGCCAGUGAUAAACUGGAGGAAGGUGGGGAUGACGUCAAGUCAUCAUGGCCCUUACGACCAGGGCUACACACGUGCUACAAUGGCGCAUACAAAGAGAAGCGACCUCGCGAGAGCAAGCGGACCUCAUAAAGUGCGUCGUAGUCCGGAUUGGAGUCUGCAACUCGACUCCAUGAAGUCGGAAUCGCUAGUAAUCGUGGAUCAGAAUGCCACGGUGAAUACGUUCCCGGGCCUUGUACACACCGCCCGUCACACCAUGGGAGUGGGUUGCAAAAGAAGUAGGUAGCUUAACCUUCGGGAGGGCGCUUACCACUUUGUGAUUCAUGACUGGGGUGAAGUCGUAACAAGGUAACCGUAGGGGAACCUGCGGUUGGAUCACCUCCUUACCUUAAAGAAGC
RNAcentral lists this ribosomal RNA (580 nucleotides) under Escherichia coli. RNAcentral describes it as "bacterial SSU rRNA". It matches the Rfam family "Bacterial small subunit ribosomal RNA", at positions 965 to 1533 of the family's 1533-position model. The record is from RNAcentral. Lineage: Bacteria; Pseudomonadati; Pseudomonadota; Gammaproteobacteria; Enterobacterales; Enterobacteriaceae. RNAcentral also lists the same sequence under 1 other name.